GAUGAAGAACGUAGCGAAAUGCGAUAAGUAAUGCGAAUUGCAGAAUUCCGUGAGUCAUCGAAUCUUUGAACGCACAUUGCGCCCUUUGGCAUUCCGAAGGGCAUGCCUGUUCGAGCGUCAUUUAUCAACCCUCAAGCCCGGCUUGCGGUUGGGUCCCGCCGUGGGCGACCACGGCGGACCCGAAAGGUAAUGGCGGUGCCCGUGGGGCCCUGGACGCAGCGAGCUUCUCGGCACGCGUCCCGGCGGUCCCCGGCGCCGUCUCCACCAAUCCACCACGCAGAUUGACCUCGGAUCAGGUAGGGAUACCCGCUGAACUUAAGCAUAUCAAUAAGCGGAGGA
Molecule: unclassified non-coding RNA, 339 nt
Filed under: soil metagenome
Description: partial contains 5.8S ribosomal RNA, internal transcribed spacer 2, and large subunit ribosomal RNA
Rfam family: 5.8S ribosomal RNA (bases 1-120)
Source: RNAcentral